Artibeus jamaicensis (Jamaican fruit-eating bat) is the source of this 7175-nucleotide RNA transcript. It is a transcript of the gene named zinc finger protein 445, with no coding region annotated. The transcript is spliced from 8 exons. The record is from RefSeq and is a predicted model, not a curated record. Lineage: Eukaryota; Metazoa; Chordata; Mammalia; Chiroptera; Phyllostomidae.
GGUGGGCUGGCCCGCGAUCCGGUCCCCGCCGCAGCACUGCCAGCCGAUCUGGGAGCUGGGAGCGCUUCGCACGCCGCCCGGGGCGCCUGGUGGAGAGAAUUUGGAGCAAUGGUUUCCGAGUUCUUUCAAUUACGCAAACAAAGCGUACUCAUUACGGACGAUUAGGUGACAACGUCUCUUGCAGGUGACCUCUGAUGUCCUAGCAAAUGGCAUUGUCCACUGUGGUGCUGAAAAGGUACUCCCGAGGCUCCGGCAGCGACUGGGAUACCACAGGCUUGGUUCGCGCCCUGCUGGGUGGAGCCUGAGCGGCGGUGAUGCCUCCAGGCAGGUGGUACGCUGUCCACCCAGCUCAGGCCCAGGCUUCCAGGGAGCGAGCGCGCCUUCAGGUGAUAAAGAAAGAAGAGGAGGAUGAAGGCUACACUUCAGUGCAGACUGCUAGGCCCCAGACACUCAACCGCCCUGGUCAGGAGCUGUUCCGCCAGCUUUUCAGGCAGCUUCGCUACCAUGAGUCCUCCGGGCCCCUUGAGACGCUGAGCCGGCUGCGGGAGCUCUGCCGCUGGUGGCUGAGGCCGGACGUUCUCUCCAAGGAGCAGAUCCUGGAGCUGCUGGUGCUGGAGCAGUUCCUGAGCAUCCUGCCUUGCGAGCUCCGGACCUGGGUGCAGCUGCAUCACCCCGAGAGUGGCGGAGAGGCUGCGGCCCUGCUGGAGGAACUGCAGAGAGACUCCCACGGGACACCAUGGACGGACCCAGCCCCUGCCCAUAGCCCGGAUGUGCACUGGAUGGGCACAGGAGCCCUGCGCGCCGAGCAGUCAUGGCCCUCCACACCGCCUCUCAGGAGCAGCUCCACUCUGGGGGACUGCCUGGAGCCUCCCUCUGAAACAGGAGUGCGUGACUUCCUGGCUGGGCAACCCGAUCCUCCAGCUGCCCAGGUGCCUGCCCUUUCCCAGGGAGAGGGGUGCCCAGAAGACAGGGGGGCAGCCCAGCCUCAGGAGGCUCUGACUUUCAAGGAUGUGGAGGUGACCUUCUCUCAGGAUGAGUGGGGGUGGCUGGCCCCUGCUCAGAGGAACCUGUACAGGGACGUGAUGCUGGAGAACUACGGGAACCUGGCUUCUCUGGUGGGGCCGCUCGCCAAGCCUGCGCUGAUCUCCUGGUUGGAGACAAGGGAACCGUGGGGCCUGAACAUCCAGGGAGUGCAGCCUAAGGGCGACCCAGGGGCUGCCCCUGCAGGAGGUGAGCUCCAGAUUAAAACAAACAAGCUCAUCUUAAAUCAGGAGCCUGUGGAAGAAGCAGAAACCUCGGCUGUGUCGUCAGGAUGUCACAUGGUGAGGGUGUCGGAGGAGACCGGGCCAGGAGAGCCUUUGGAAGUGCAGAGCAGCCUGCAGGAGCGGUGUGGUGACCCCACGCCAGUGAGUGUUAAGAAAAAGGAGACCAGCUUCAGUCUCAAGACAGAAGAAUCGGGGGAACCGGAAGGCAGCAGUGGCCUUGAUCUCAAACACGUGGUGUAUUUGCGAGUUCCCAGGAGAAAGCGAGCCCUGAAGCGUGGCUGCGGCUGGCACUUCCGGGGUGGCGCCUACCAGCUAGACUGCAGGGAGUACGGCAGGGGCCUCAGGCGCCUGAUCGGCGUGUUGGGCCUGCGCCAGAGGCUGCACGCCACGCUGAAGGGGGUUGCGAAGGACAUGCACGCGAAGGACUUCCUGAGCUCCUGUCUCCAGUGGAGUCUGCACGGGGUGGGGAUGCUGUACAAGUGCAGCGACUGUGGCAGGACCUUCGGUCACCGCUCCCACCUUGCGCACCACCAGAGGCUCCACACGCAGGAGAAGCCCUUUAAGUGUCGGGUGUGUGGGAAAGCCUUCAGGUGGAGCUCGAACCGCGCGCGACACGAGAGAAUUCACACUGGGCUGAAGCCUUAUAAGUGCGGUUUGUGUGACAAGGCCUUCCAACGUGUGUAUGCCUACCAUCUGCACCAGGAGACCCAUGCGAGUCAGAAACUUCUGGAAUCUCCACAGUGUGAGGAAGUGCGCCCGUACGGCUCAAGGUUGGAUCAUGUGCAGGAGCAGAGCAGGGAGAGUCUCUUCGACUGCAGCCAGUGUCGGAAGUCCUUCCACUGCAAGUCAUAUAUCCUUCAGCAUCAAAGGAUCCACACCCAGGAGAAACCCUACAAAUGCACCAAAUGCAGGAAAACCUUUAGGUGGAGGUCCAACUUUUCUCGCCAUAAGAGGAUGCACCAGGAAGACAAGUUCUGUAACAAAGAUACCCGCGGAGAAGACCCCCGGGAGCCCCCUCUUGGCAGCCAGCCCCCGAGCGCCCCCGCGGUGGAGAAAGCGUUCCUCUGUCAGCAGUGCGGGCGAACCUUCCCAGGGAAGAAGUCUCUCCUCAACCACCAGCGGGUCCACGCGGGCCGGGAGCCCUACCGCUGCGGCGAGUGUGCCAAAGACUUCGCCCACAGGUCGGCCUUCCUCGUGCACAAGAAGCAGCACACCCUGAAGAGAGAAGCCACCCUGAAGAGAGAAGCCGAGGCUGCGCCCCCCCUCGCCCCUGAGGGGGGGCUCCUAGGCCAUCCCAGCAGCCAGGCCGCAGAGGAGCGCUUCAAGUGCAGCCACUGCGGCAAAGCCUUCCGCAACCACUCGUUCCUCCUCAUCCACCAGCGGGUGCACACACGCGAGAAGCCGUACAAGUGCCAGGAGUGCGGGAAGGCCUUCCGGUGGAGCUCCAACCUGUCCCGCCACCAGCGGAGCCACUCGCUGGGCAAGCUGUUCGUGUACCAUAACAGCGGUGGCGCCGUGGACGUGCAGCAGCAGGUCCUCAUCGGCGAGAAGCCCUUCUGGUGCCAGGAGUGUGGGAAAACCUUCACCCGCAAGAGGAGCCUCAUGGACCACAAGGGCAUCCACAGUGGGGAGAAGCGCUACAAGUGCAACCUGUGCGAGAAGUCCUACGACAGGAACUACCGCCUCGUCAACCAUCAGAGGAUCCACACCAAGGAGAAGCCCUUCAAGUGCCAGUGGUGCGGGAAGGACUUCAUCGGAAGGCACACCCUCUCCAUCCACCAGAGAAAACACACCCGGGCGGCCGAGGCACCACCCUCCCAGGACACAGGGGCGACUUCGCAGGAGUUGAAGCCGAGUGAGGAGACGCCCCUGGAGGCCCGAGAGGGAGUGUGCGAGAGGAGCACCAGUCCUGCCGGCCCCCAGGACACGCCCACGGGGAAGAAGAGUCACAGAUGCAGCACCUGUGGGAAGACUUUCAGCAAGACCUCACAGCUCAUCAGCCACAAGAGGUUUCACACGCGCGAGAGGCCCUUCAAGUGCUCAGAGUGUGGGAAGACCUUCAGGUGGUCUUCCAAUUUGGCCCGGCACAUGAAAAGGCACAUUGGUGAUUAGCCGGGAGCCUGGCGAUGGGAGGAAGUUGGCAGGGGAAGCCGCAGUUGUAGGAGGUGCGGGCACAACCUUCACAGAGUGCCCGGCCCUGCCUGUUUCAGAAGUGAGUCACAGAGCCUCUUGAGGGUUCAGAAACUCGGGGUGGCCCCCAUCCUACCCACUGGGCGGUGAGAUUCUCCUUAGUGACCUUCUAGAGACUCGGGCCCUCGGUAGCGGCCUUCGUUCAAUGGCCUGCCCGGAGCUCCCCAAGCUGGGUCUUCUUCCAUAGCUGUACCGGGAGAGACCGGCACCCUUUCAUCUGACACGGUGUGUGUGGCAUGGUGGGAAGGGGCCGGUGGGGUCCUAGGCUCCCCCUGGGUCUGACCUGUUGGCACGGUGCCUGUUCUGUUUGACCUUGUAAGCGUGAAGCAGCUCUAACUCCUGCCAGUGUGGCCCAGGAGCCUCCUGCGGAGUUCUGCCCGUGGCCUCCGCCCUCACAGCCAGCUUUGGAUGUCUGCUGUGGGCGGCAUGCGGAGGGGAGCAGCGUCCGGGCCUCCUCCCUGCAGAAGGGAGCGUGCUGUGCCUCCUUACCACCUCCCUGCCUCGGGCAGGGCUGUGCCAAGCCCCCCACACUCCAGGGUGUCCUGUGAGCCAGAGGCCCAGCAGGACCAGGACAGAGAAAAAAAUUGUGGUCUGGGGUCAUGACAGACGAUAAACAUGUGAGAUACAUAGAGUGGUUGGUAUGUGUGUUGUGGACACAUGAACCAGAGGAGAGGGUGUGCUGGAUUUUGAGGCGGGUUGCAAUUUUAAGUAGUCUGGUUGUGAAGGGCCUCAAAAGAGAAGGUGUAAUUGGAGCAAAGACCUGCAGGAGGUCAGGGAGGGAGCCCUGUAGGUGUUAGAACCAGGCACAGGAGGUGGGCUCUUGGCUGGUGUCCUUGGGAGUGACAGGAGGCCCCUGCACCAGGGUGGGGUGAGCCGAGCCGGCCGGGGGAGAGGGGCCCAGGGAGGUGCUGGCCAAGCCUCGUGAGUGUCAGGUGCACUUGAACAGUUUGAGUUGAGGAGUGAUGUGCUCCGAAUGCGAGUUACCUUUUACAAGAGUUAGCCACAGACCCAAGGACUCGGUGAAAUGACAGAGCUGAAAAUUUCGUGUGCUGCCAGUUUCCGAGAGUAGACUCCCCGCCCCACCAAGUGUCUGGAUGUUCUGCCAGUGCCGCAGCUCUCAGCAGAUGUGAGCAGCUGUGGACCGCAGCCUCACGCCCCAGCCCAGGCCCCAGCCCGUCUUUCCCUGAGCCUCCUCUCUGUAAGCCCUCUCCCCCGGCCCCACCUCUCCUGGUACCUGUGUUGUUUGGGUUUGCAAACAUUUCACCCCCCACUGCAGUCAGCGAGGCCAGGGUCCAGCGCUUGUUUGUCUGGCUGCCACACAGAAGAGGUUUUGCACAGUUGCCUCUGUGAAGGACUCCAGAGCUGAAUUUAGUUUAUAGGUAAGUCUUGAUUGGAAGUUUUUGAAAGGGCCCCCUACUCCCCAGUGAAAUGAUGAUGGGAGGGUGCCAGUGGAUAGUGUCGGGCUGCCCCAGCCUCACUUCUCACCUUGCACCCCACUCUGGUUGGGGGACACCCCUUUUUUCAACCUGCUCCACCUUCUCUCACUCUCAGGAGGAACUGGAGUUUGGGCUGAAGAGAGCCAGGUGGGCGGGGACUGCACUGGGAGCGGGGCGGGCACAGGCCUGUCAGUCAGCUCCUCCCUGCGCGCUCAGCCCCGCCCCUGCUGACCGGGACCAGCUGCUCCGGCCAGUCGCGGUUGCAGGCAGAGGAGAAAGCACAGGAAAUGAAUCCUGGACCUGCCUUCUAUGUGACGCGACUUAGAAUGAGUCACAGUCUCUCCAGGCUCCUCCCUUGCAGAAAUUGGGAGCAACACAAACAGCCUGGGUAAUGGAAGGGCUAAGCCAGGCCGAUACGUAUAGAUGGAGUACCAUGUGCCUUAGACAUGGUGUCCCCCACGUGUUGACAUGUGAUCUCCACAAUGUGCAGCUCACAGGAAGGUGUAAGCUCUCUUUCCUUCGUUCCUCCUUUCCCUAUAGUAACCAGGAAAGCCAGAAGCCACCGACUCGUUUUAGUGACGAGAUGGGCUCUGGACAGAGAUGCACAGUCAUUCAUUCCGCCCUGUUAGGGAAGUGAGGAAAGGUUCGAGUACCCACUACCACAGCUCUUAAGUGUCAGCCAGGUUCUUGUCAGGAGCCAGAAACCAUAGCGAUAAUUUUAAAAGCGUGUACAGAGUUCUUUGUUAGAUGCAUGUAACUAAAAGGCAGGAAGUGCGAAGGUGGCAGGAGGGUAGUGACUGCGAGAAGCAGCUGGGUGAGCUCAUUUUUGAUGUUUGACCGUUGGUAACUUUGGUUAACUUUCGAGCGCUGUUCCUUACACCUGGGCAAGCUGAUAGAAAGCCAGGUGCUCCUUCUCAGCUCCUGAGAGGGGGUUUAUGCAAACUCCAGGACCCCUCCCCUUAACCACAGUGAAUACCAGACCUGCUCACCCCUCCUUUCAUUCAAGGUAAACCAGCUGGUGUGGGUGUCUGUCCCUUCCCCAGAGAGCCUGGUUAUGGGAAUAAUUCACUUUUCUGUAACCUCUUGAUGUGUGUGAUGGCCGUAGUCUUGACAUCUGAACCAGUCCAGGUGGUGAUGGAGUAUUCACCCCACCACUACCGUGCAAGCUAUAAAGCUUGAUAGAAGGGGAUAGAAGGAGUUAGAAUUGUUCGAAGGUGAGAUGUGGGAAGAGAACCCCUGCAGAUGCAGACCUGUGAGGAGGAGGGCCUGCCCAAACCUGCAGGGUGGGGCUGGAGGCUUGGGAGAGCCUCUGCUCCAGUCUGAAGCCCGUCUGGGGGAGGCGGCUUUGUCUGGGAGGGCCGGUCUUUUUGUUCUAUUCAGGCCUUCAACUGAUUGGAUGAGGCCCAUCCAGAUUAUGGAGAGUGAUGUGCUUUAUUCACAGUCCAUGAGUUUUAAACAUUAAUCCAAAAACACCCAGAGAAAAACCCUAACGUCAGGCAGCUCCUGUGGGGGUUUACGGCCCAGGCAAAUAGAGGUGAAAUUAAUUGUUACACUCCCCCAGCAUCAUAGGCGUCCUCUCCUGUUCUUGGAUCACAGCACCAUUGGCGCCGCCCAGAGGUGUGUUGCCCAGAGAUUUCCAGCCCAUCACAGGCACCCACAGAAGGGCACACAUUUCAGGCUCUGGAGAGAAGCGGCAGGUGGUGCGGGAGGCUCUGUGCUCCACGUGGGUGGAGGUUUGCUGGGAUGUCAUGUACCCACACAAACGAAGGUAGAGGCCUGUUGCUUGACUCCAGCUGACUUGUCCACAUCUAAAGCAGAGGUGAAGACCUAGGAGAGUUCUCCAUCCACCCCUCACCCAGCAUGGGUUUCAGGAAACCCCACGGGUGGGCUGCAGUCAACUGGCCCACCUGCCCCGUGGGGGCACAGCUUCCCACAGACACCAGCUUUUCCAGGGCCACGAGAGGCGUAAUCUGUCGCAACUUAAUUUCAGUAAGAAACACACAGGACAUCUCCAAGUGGUCCACUCCCCAUGCUCUAUGAACUCAGGGGUUCUGCUUCUCUCAUAGGUGUGAAGUGAUGACCCUGCUGGGUGCGCUCUGGCAGCCCUUGCCUUCUGGCUUAGGGUAGGGUUCAAGGUUUGAUACCGGGUGGAGAAGGUGGGUCUGACGGAGCAGCCGAGGGAAGGGUGUGUGCCCCAAGGCCGUGCUCAGUGGAUUGAGGAGGGAAGAAGCCGGGUUCACUGGGCUGUGAAGGGAGGAAGCACCAGGAGGAGUGUGUGUGUGUG